Molecule: long non-coding RNA, 840 nt
Organism: Metopolophium dirhodum (rose-grain aphid)
Lineage: Eukaryota; Metazoa; Arthropoda; Insecta; Hemiptera; Aphididae
Exons: 5
Source: RefSeq, a predicted model, not a curated record
GCCAGCGACUCGUCGCCCGUCGGCAGCCGUCGCUAAUUUAUGUGCGCGGGACGUGCCAUAGUGUAUUGUCGUCCGAGGCGUAGGUCGACCGCGGCUAGUUUUUCCCGACAAUUUUCCAUGAAUUUCCCGGUCGGCCACUGUGAGAACGCAUUGUGGAGACUCAUAUUAUAAAUGGCGGAAGACAACCUUAUCACGGCGGUUCGCGACGGUGUUGAUUGUCUCCGGUCCAACGAACAUUUGGAAUAAAUAUUGCUGCCGACUUGGGUUGUGACUUUCUGGCAGGAACCCUAAUAGUCGAGCACGAAGUCGGCCAGUCUGCGUCCGUCCGUCCGUCGACGGUUACCACUUACCGGUGUACGCAGUUACGGUUGCCGAAACCGGGGAUUCAGCGCGCUCGCAGAGUGAGCUUUCCGGACUUGUUCUAUCGACAAGCCCACCGAUGGACUCUGGAUUCGGAAACAAUCGCUCACGCUAAUGCCAAUAGAACGAGACUAUUACAACUCAAGGAGGAGCCAGAAUCAAGUUUGUGAUUAGAAAAUAUGAAUCGUGCUGUUUUCAUUGUAACAACUAACAAGAUUCAUGUUCAUAGUUGCAGCUCGUCAGAAUAUUGCAUAAUUAAAAUGAAUAGGAAAGAGAUCCAUGAUAUUUGCUGACAUUAGCUAGCCGCCCAACUGGUACACUUUUUGGUCUUGCACUUCAUUUUACAGUGAUUCAUUGGUAACUUUGCAUGCCCAUAAAACUGUUUUGUCAUGCUGCUUCUAUAAAUUGUGUGUGCGUGUGUUGUGUGGGGAAGGAGAAAUAAUAAUAUUAUAAUAUGUAAUUUUAUUUCUAAAAUCUUAA